UAUCCCACCGAGGCCACCAUAGACCAGCCAGCCCUCAGCGUACAUGCCAGCUAAUUACAGAUGCAGGAGCAAACCCCUGGCCCAUACAUCAAUUUUAAUGUCAUUGAAUACAGAGAACAAAUCUCAUUCAUUUUGGUAUCGGCUCAAGUCAACAAACAUUUAAAAAUCAUUUACUGCAUCUGAUUUUGGGUAUGUUGAAUUGGUGACGUCUGAGUUGCUUCUGGUCUAUCCUGAUAGAAACAUACAGUAAACAGAGAAAAAAAAGGGUCUCAGGUGAGAUGAUGUAUGGGAAUGCUCAGCAUACAGAAUGAAUGGAUAAGAGGCCUGAAAACAUAAUCCUGUAAACAACCAUAUUGAAAGAGAAGACAGAAGACAUCAAACAGAUGGAGUUUCGCUCUUGUUGCCCAGGCUGGAGUGCAACGGCACGAUCUCAGCUCACCGCAACCUCCACCUCCCAAGUUCAAGCAAUUCUCCUGCCUCAGCCUCCUGAGUAGCUGGAAUUACAGGAUUUUGGAAGCAUUGCCUUCUACAGAAUCCACAGUAGUCCGAAGUUCUUCUACGGUUUUUGUCAAACUUUGAUUUUCCAUCUCUAGCUUCAAUAAUCUACUUGAUGUCAACUCAUUCACCUCAUGGCCCAGGGAUUUCUGGGGUGCUAUAAUAUUGAAAAAUACACCAUUGUAUUUACUCUUUACUGUUUUUACUAUGUUUACUCUUUACUAUUUAAAAAGUUGAGUGUAUAUGCAUUGCAUCAUCUGAUCCUUAACUUUAUUAAAAAUUCAAUGAGGUUAUAUAAGAUAAACAAGAUAAAAGAAGUAAAUCUUUUUUUUCCUUUUCUUUUUUUCUUUUUUUUAAAGAGACGGGGUCUCUCUCUGUCACCCAGGCUGGAGUGCAGUGAUGUGCUCCUAGCUCACUGCAGCCUCAAACGCCUGGUCUGAAGGGAUCCUCCCACCUCAGUCUCCCAAGCGGCCGGGACUGCAGGUACAGCCAGCUAAUUUUUUUAUUUUUUAGUAAAGACUGGGUCUCUGUUACUUAGGCUGGUCUCGAACUCCUGAGCUCAAGCAAUCCUCCUGCCUUGGCCUCCCAAAGUGCUGGGAUUACAGGCAUUAGCCGCUGCAACCAGCUAAGAGAUACAUGUUUAACUUUUAAUGCAUCCACAGCAUUCUAGUUAAAAAAAAGCAUAAAGUUUAGAUUGAAGAAAUUGGAGUUCAAGCAGACCCAUUAAAUAUUUUGCU
RNAcentral lists this non-coding RNA (1232 nucleotides) under Pan troglodytes (chimpanzee). Lineage: Eukaryota; Metazoa; Chordata; Mammalia; Primates; Hominidae. The record is from RNAcentral.